Molecule: ribosomal RNA, 423 nt
Filed under: uncultured bacterium
Lineage: Bacteria
Description: bacterial SSU rRNA
Rfam family: Bacterial small subunit ribosomal RNA
Source: RNAcentral
AUAUUGGACAAUGGGCGCAAGCCUGAUCCAGCCAUGCCGCGUGAGUGAAGAAGGCCCUCGGGUUGUAAAGCUCUUUUGUCCGGAAAGAAAUCCUUUCGAUUAAUACUCGGAAGGGAUGACGGUACCGGAAGAAUAAGCACCGGCUAACUUCGUGCCAGCAGCCGCGGUAAUACGAAGGGUGCAAGCGUUACUCGGAAUUACUGGGCGUAAAGCGUGCGUAGGUGGUUUGUUAAGUCUGAUGUGAAAGCCCUGGGCUCAACCUGGGAACUGCAUUGGAUACUGGCUUACUAGAGUGCGGUAGAGGGUAGCGGAAUUCCCGGUGUAGCAGUGAAAUGCGUAGAUAUCGGGAGGAACAUCCGUGGCGAAGGCGGCUACCUGGACCAGCACUGACACUGAGGCACGAAAGCGUGGGGAGCAAACAGG